GCUAUCAUUUUUAAAUCGGCAAACACACUACAAAGAGUUUAUCUUCCAGAUAAAGAACUGUUGAAGAGAUUUUUUCCACUUAUUUUCAUAAUUGCUAUGUUUCUUCUUAUUUGGACCAUAUCAGAGAAAGUCAAAACGGAAAUCUUGGAAACUUCCAGUCAUUUGAAAUAUGAAGUGUGUUUGAGUAGCUAUUUGGUUUAUGCUAUUCGAUGUGUUGAAGCGUUAUUGCUCUUGCUUGGUGUGUAUAUGUGUUAUGUUGUGAGAAAAGCACCUGGACAUUUUAAUGAAAGUAAAUACAUUACAUGGUCAGUUUAUAAUGGUAUCCUGCUUGGAAGUUUUCUCUUGAUUCUGACACAUGUAAUUGGCCAUUCCCAUGGACCAGAUAUGCUGUACCUGUUCGAGUGUCUACAGAUUCAAGUUUUUGCUACUAUAACUCUGACGUUGAUUUACGUUCCUAAGUUGAUAGCAUUGUACAGAAAUGAAGAUAUAAAGAAAGGCUCCAAUACCUUGAGUUUCCCUUAUGGCACCAAAAAUAAUAGAACAAACUCUAUUGACCUUAUUCAAGCAAAGGCCACACACAGUUAUGAAAUUCAAACAGCAGCUCCAAAGCCAAUUUACAGCAGCAAAUAUUUGAAAACGGACACAACUUUUACACAACAGGCGAAAAUUUGCCCAACUAAGUCGAUUGGUACACAAACUCAUUCAAAUACGGACAUGGACAACUUAUGAUUUGGGCACUGUGUCGUAGAAGGCAAGUUAUAUCUAGCUAGGCAUUCAUCCGGACAUGUGAUGCAAGAAUAUCACAAUCACCAAAUAUGUCCUUGCUUUGUUAUGCCUAUCUAUGUUUUUAUCAUCAUUUCAAACUCAAAUAUCAUUAUUUUCAAAAGGAAAUUUAUAUCUAAGUCGAACCUCAACACAAAGAGAGGACUCUCGGAUGCGAGGGAAUACUGAUUGAUGAUAGCAGUGACCUUUGUUAUUGAGAACCAAACUGCAUAGGUAGUAUAAUAGUCGGUCCAAAAAAUGUCAACCUGACAAGACAAGACAUGUUUGAACUUAUACGAUAUUGAAAAGCUUGCAGCUGAUUCUAAUGCUUUGUAAAACGUCAUUGGAGACUGUGCAUAACAUAAUUGAGCCAGGAUUUUGUCAAAGAACGUCUCAUCAAUUAUUUCAAAAGUUCAUCAAGAAAGUAUCAAUUCAGUAUGUACCUCACAAAUAAUACAGGAUGGUCUUGAGUAUAAGAUUCUAAGUGCCGACGUUGUGUGUCAUUUUAUUUACUGUACAGUUUUCUCUUAAGCUGUCUUUGUACUAUUAUGUUCCUUUUGGUCAUAUGGCUCUUGGCGUGGCUCGAUAUUUGUACAUUCAGCUUUUUGUUUUUUUGUUUUAGGUUUUUCUGGUGCGGUUCGGACCAUCAGGUUUUUAUAGUUUUGUUUUCAUUUUGUAUACUCUUAUUUUACUAAAUGUGUGCUUUAUCGGGAGAGUGUAUAUGUCAUUAUGUUUUACUAAACUGUAUUUACUAUCAAAUACAAGAACUUUUUUGUUGGCAUGUUUGUUGGAUUUGUUAGUGUGUUUGUUUGCAGUCUAAACUCGGUUUUGUUGUAUGUAUGUGAUGUAGGUUUAUGGCUGCUGGAUUCCAAUUCUUGUCGCGUUAUCCAGUUGUGUCUAUUUGGGUUACUCACCCGGUUUUGUUAAUAGAACGGAACAAUAGACGACUGUCAAAGGAGGAUAAGCUAGCUAUUUGGCCAGGUUUGCCCUCCCUUUUCUUUGGUUCCAAGUCAGGAAUAUGACAGUUGUUUUCCAUUCGUUCCGUUGGUUGAUACAGUCGAGCGUUUGAAUUUGGAAGGUUUUGUGGGGUACCAUCUUUUUGAAUUUGCCUUGGAGAUCGGUAUUUUUGUAAAUACAUUUUCAGCAUAGUUAAUUAAAUUUCAUUGUUUAACGAUUACUAGUAAUUCUAAAUAUUUCAAGUGUUGAAGACCGUGUGUAAUGACAACUGUUUUAACUUCCAAUAAGAAAUAUCAAAAUAUUGCAAAUAUUAGCAUUAAAUUCAUUUUGCACAAAGAUUGUUCCAAUUUUACUGGUACAAGCAAUAUAACAAUUUAUUAAAUACAAUUCAAAAAAUCUAAUUCGUAUGCAUCAAUAAUUAGUUUAGCAAUACAUUACUAUUUUCCUGCACAUAUAACUCUCGUGCCAUUGGUAUUGCGUAGUGGUAACUUUAUUUUCAUUAACGUGGACACUGCUUUGGAACUACAAUUAUUCUGAUAAGCCUAUAGAUUUGAAAUUUGAGGAUUGAAGGAUAAGUUUAAGAACGCUUUUCGACGAUUUCAUGUGCUUUCUAUACAAAUAUUCACCUAUUUUGAAAGAAUUCAAUCAGUAAUAUUACAGAAAAUAGAAAAAAUAAAUGCAUUAUUUUUUCGAUUUUCAGUUAAAAUUCAACGAGCCAAAGUUGGAUGCAAAAUUAUAUCCAAAUAUGAGACAUAGCCCAAUUACUGUAACUUGACCUUAAAUAAAGGCAACAGUAGUAUACCGCUGUUCAAAAGUCAUACUUUUAUUAAGCUUAAACAAAUCCGGGUAACAAACUUAAACCGAGGGAAACACAUCAACUAUAAGAGGUAAACAACGGAACAGAAAUAGGUCGAAUCAUAGUCAGAUUCUCAGGUGUAUUCGGGUUUUAAAUGAUAUCUGCUAGAUUUAGAUUUAGAAAUUGUCAAGACUUCGGAUUCUUACGAUGGUCUGCCAUUUCAAAUGACGCGGAUUUCAAUUAAAUUUUAUGAUAAGACUUUAUGAAACAUUAAGAAGUGUUGUAUCUAAUUUUGUUUAUUUUUUUAAUGUUUUGUUUGUUUUCCGAUAUCGAUAGUUAAUCUUAAUCGCUAACCGAUAUCAAGCAACAAACAAAAUUAUUUGCAAGAAAUGAUUGAAAGUAAAUAGAAUCAUUAACUCGUAUAUUCAAUGUCUUGUUUGUCAAGAAACUUUUUUAAGAAUACACAAAUUUAAAUUUUACUACUUUGUUAGAUAAAGGUUAUCACUAUAAAACUAAUUAAUUGAGGAUACCAACUCUUCAACGUUUGUAUUAGGUUUUAGAUUUUCAAAUAUGUAAUCACUGAAGAGACAUGAAUUGUCGUUAUGCUCAUCUGAUUCAGUAAAAUAAGUGCCUGUACCGUUAGUGUUAUUUAAAAUAUAAGUUCUAUUGAUGAAACAAAAGAUUCACCAUAUAUCGCUCACUCGAUGAAGUUAAUCUGUAAAAUUUUAAAAAGGGAGGCACGCCAAGGGUUUUCAAUAUCUAAAAAUAAACUUUCGAUUUUAAGACCAAAGGAUGGAAUUUCAACUUUUUUCUUUUCUUUUGAUCAGCCAAAUAUAGUGUUUUCAUUGUAAGUUUUAUCUCUAACGAGAAUUCAUAAAACCAGGUUAAUUAGAAUACAAUUGACGUCAUAAACGAAUAUCAACCAAAGAAAAACAAGAAAAAAAUUUGUUGAUUUUUCAAAAAUAAAAAAAAAAAAAAACCAAUUGAUUAUAAUUAGCCAACCAUAAUUUUAUCGGAUAAUAAUUAAACAAACUCCUUAUAACACGUCUACUUAAAAAGAUAAACAACACUCUUUUCUUUUAUUAUAAAUCGCAAUAUGUACUACUGUCAAAAGGUGACAUAAUCUGGAGUUAUGUCGUCUCCAUCUAUGCUACUAAAAUAACGAGGUCCAAUUUGCUAGCCAAAAUGACGUAAAUACGACGAAUCAAAGAAUUCAACUUAUAUAUAACUAAUAUAAGACAAUGGUGUUGAUUAAAAUUACAACAUUACAGGCCCUUUUGUUUUCCACAUAAAUAAUAUUACCAAUAAUUUAUAAGUUCCGGGUCUAAUCCGAUACCGAUUCCAAUAGUAUAUUUCUUACGUAGUGUCCGGUUAUAGUAAGAAAACCAGGACGGGUUGAAACAGAAAGAUUUUUAAAGCAGAGAAAACUGUAUACCUUAUAAUCAGCAUGACUUUAUAUGAUGACAAUACGAAUACUAAAAAUCCAGGCUAACAUUAAAGCGUAGGUACUUUAAUUCAGUCACGAACCCGCGGGUAUGUUCUAGUGGCUAAUGAAAAACCACAAUUAUUAGUAAAAAAAGAGAUUGACGAUACUACAGGGACAACCAAACAAUUGUAAGCAAAAAAAUCAGACAACUCGAAAAACGUCGACAAAACAAAUAGCAGUCUACAAAACAUACAAAACAAACCCCAACAACCCCAUGUAUAAUCGCAAGUGCUCCAGAAGGCUAAAUAGAUCCUGCUCCACAUGUGGUAACAGUUAUGUUAAUCUUGGCAGUAUAUAUUGGGUGAUAAAUCUGAUUCGGUGACGUCAUAAUCAAUGAUAACAGUUAGGGAUCUUGGUUUUGACAAUUGCAACAUAUAUGUGGUUAUCUAUUACACAGAUAUUCCAUUACGGUCACCCAACCAUUAUUGCACCCUCAAACUUUCGAAAACUGUUUUAAAAUAAUACUAUAUAAUUUUUAUGCGUCCAACGCGCUUUUCUGGAUUUCAAGUUGUGAAUGAAAAUUUAUAUAUGAUAAAUAACAGAUUGAUUGUUGUUUGUUUAUAUUUAACGAAAAUAGGUCAAUAUUUUACGAAAAUUCCAAACGUAAACAAAUUUACAAUUAAUCCAAGUGGGAAGGUCUGCAAAGUGGGUCGAUCGCAAUGAAGUGCUGAACCUUAAGACUGCAACUUAAAAAGUAGGUGCCCUUGUUAUAAGCCAUAUCAAGCAGUUUUUUGCAAGAAUUAUUUAACGUGCAGAGCAUUAUUUUUCAUCUACAGAAGGCUUCUGAUUUCAAUCCCUUAUCUAAACCAAACGUUUCUGCGUGUGUAUACAACCCGUACGGCCAAACGGACGGCACUUUAACAUGGGUUCUAUACAAUCGGAGUGAAGAUGUUCGGAUGACUCUGUUUCUAUGACAUAGAGAAAUCUAUGUAUGUAGUCGAAUUAUCAAAACCAAACAAUACUUGUAAAUUUUUUAACUUUGGUAUUAUACAUGUAAAGGUAAAAAUAAUGCUUCAAUAAAGAAUGAAACAUAUUAUAAACCAGCUAUCAACAGUGUCUUACAAAAUACAUCCAUAUAUUUUCAGAUCUUGAUUUUACAAAUUCUUCGUUACAAUUGUUUCUUGCGAUUUCAAUGAACGCUUAAAUUUGGUAACAUUAUUUUACCGAUGCCUGCAUAAAGAUGAAAAAUCCUCCCGUUUAAACAUCUCACCAUUUGCUUUAGAAAAUGCGUCUCUUUUAAGUAGUUAUAAGUCUUACAUUCCAUCACAUGUGUGCAUGUUCAAAUUUAAUUAACUAGCCGAUUUUUUUUUAUUUUAGAGAUCCUUGAAUCGUUUAUUAUUAUAACAUUCAAGGUAUCAAUUUCAUUGCACCAGUUGCGCAUUUCAACAAUAUAUGUCCCUUCAGUGAUUCACAAGGCCAAACUGUACAUGUUUUGUAUAUUUAUGUAUGUAGCAAAGUAAAUAUUUAAGAAGAAUCUUUAUAAAAAAUUACCAACUAACGUAAAAUAAAAGAAGCGAAUUAAACAAUAUUUUGUUUUUGUUCUUCAACAUCAGGCGGAUCUGUUAAUUUUACUUGACGGAUAAUAUUUCUUGUUGUUUUCAUAUUUUGGGAAUGAUAAAAUUAUCAACCAUAGGUUCAACUCUGUUCUGACUGUUUAACGACAACAUGGAAACAGACGUCGAAAACGCUGUACCCUAAAAAAAAAGAAAACGUCAAAACUUAAACCUUGGUAUUUGCAAGAUAAACUGAACCUUUUUUUAAGCAGAAAAUGUCAUCAAAAGCAGAAAUUAUAGUAAAGGAGCUCACUAAAUGAAUAUUACAGUAUGAUAUAAAACAGAUUGGGAUUGCUACCGUUGUACAUUAUAAAAAAAACCUGACAUUAUGAAUAAAAAAUAUAUCUUAUAACUCCCUAUUACAUACUGAUCAACAAAUAACUGAUUAUGGCGAGGAAUUUAGCACUGUUCCGCGUAUUUUUCAAUCUGAUUUACCGUUUGCUUGAUAUUCCUUUGGUGUUUUAAAAUUUAACAAAUACAGGCCCGACAUCGAAAAGGUGCGAACUUGAUAUUUAUUAUUAUAUUAUUAUGUACAUUCCGUUCAAAGACUCGCUAUUUGUAUACUUUUGUAGUCUUGUCUUGUUUAUCAGUUGAUUUUACUUUUCCCAUGGUUUUGAUUUGUUCAGUUCCCAUACUAUCUUCUAAGUUUUUAUAUUUAUUUUUCAUUUGAAUAAACCUGGACAGGUAUCCAUUACCUGUUAUAAACAUUUCUGAGAUUGAUUUUUAUAAUUUUGGGUGAAUACAAUUACCUUUUGAUCUAAUGUUGAACAUUCAUAUGUCUGCGUCCCAACUGACAUUAAUGGUGUAGCUUCAAUGGUAUUUGUCUUCAGAUAUUUACUGUCGUAUUCUGUUUUGAACGUAUUGUUAGCUUUCUUAAUGUCUUCCUUUUUGUAUAAUGCUGAAAACUAAAACAAGACAAAAUAGUUAUAUCGGAUAGUAUGUACAGUUAUAGAUGUAUCUAUCAUAUAUUUAGUACUAAAUACAGAUUUUUUUUAUAUCUAAUAAAGGUUCUUUUCUCCA
Mytilus californianus (California mussel) is the source of this 6574-nucleotide long non-coding RNA. RefSeq lists it as uncharacterized. The transcript has 6 exons. NCBI's taxonomy places the organism in Eukaryota, Metazoa, Mollusca, Bivalvia, Mytilida, Mytilidae. The record is from RefSeq and is a predicted model, not a curated record.